CUUUUAUGGAGAGUUUGAUCCUGGCUCAGGACGAACGCUGGCGGCGUGCCUAAUACAUGCAAGUCGAGCGAACAGAGAAGGAGCUUGCUCCUUCG
This 95-nucleotide ribosomal RNA is filed under the name Lysinibacillus sp. AC-3. Its description in RNAcentral is "16S rRNA. Bacterial SSU". It matches the Rfam family "Bacterial small subunit ribosomal RNA", at positions 1 to 90 of the family's 1533-position model. Lineage: Bacteria; Bacillati; Bacillota; Bacilli; Caryophanales; Bacillaceae. The record is from RNAcentral.